RNAcentral lists this ribosomal RNA (425 nucleotides) under uncultured Delftia sp. RNAcentral describes it as "bacterial SSU rRNA". It matches the Rfam family "Bacterial small subunit ribosomal RNA", at positions 354 to 771 of the family's 1533-position model. Lineage: Bacteria; Pseudomonadati; Pseudomonadota; Betaproteobacteria; Burkholderiales; Comamonadaceae. The record is from RNAcentral.
GUGGGGAAUUUUGGACAAUGGGCGAAAGCCUGAUCCAGCAAUGCCGCGUGCAGGAUGAAGGCCUUCGGGUUGUAAACUGCUUUUGUACGGAACGAAAAAGCUCCUUCUAAUACAGGGGGCCCAUGACGGUACCGUAAGAAUAAGCACCGGCUAACUACGUGCCAGCAGCCGCGGUAAUACGUAGGGUGCGAGCGUUAAUCGGAAUUACUGGGCGUAAAGCGUGCGCAGGCGGUUAUGUAAGACAGAUGUGAAAUCCCCGGGCUCAACCUGGGAACUGCAUUUGUGACUGCAUGGCUAGAGUACGGUAGAGGGGGAUGGAAUUCCGCGUGUAGCAGUGAAAUGCGUAGAUAUGCGGAGGAACACCGAUGGCGAAGGCAAUCCCCUGGACCUGUACUGACGCUCAUGCACGAAAGCGUGGGGAGCAA